RNAcentral lists this ribosomal RNA (403 nucleotides) under uncultured bacterium. Its description in RNAcentral is "partial 16S ribosomal RNA". It matches the Rfam family "Bacterial small subunit ribosomal RNA", at positions 28 to 526 of the family's 1533-position model. The record is from RNAcentral.
GACGAACGCUGGCGGCGUGCCUAAUACAUGCAAGUCGAACGCAGUGGGAACUGGUGAGUAACACGUGGGUAACCUCCCAUCAGAGGGGAUAACACUUGGAAACAGGUUCUAAACCGAUAAUGAUGGAUGAACCCGCGGUGCAGUAGCUAGUUGGUGAGGUAACGGCUCACCAAGUCCACAAGGCAUAGCCGACCUGAGAGGAGGAUGCGCCACUCUGGGACUGAGACACGGCCUAGACUCCUACGGGAGGCAGCAGUAGGGCAUCUUCGGGAAUGGACGAAAGUCUGACCCAGCAACGCCGCGUGAGUGAAGAAGGUUUUCGGAUCGGAAAACACUGUUGUUAGAGAAGCGGUAUCUAACCAGAAAGCCACGGCUAACUACGUGCCAGCAGCCGCGGUAAUUC